UGGGGAAUAUUGCACAAUGGGCGCAAGCCUGAUGCAGCCAUGCCGCGUGUAUGAAGAAGGCCUUCGGGUUGUAAAGUACUUUCAGCGAGGAGGAAGGUGUUGUGGUUAAUAACCUUAGCGAUUGACGUUACUCGCAGAAGAAGCACCGGCUAACUCCGUGCCAGCAGCCGCGGCAAUACGGAGGGUGCAAGCGUUAAUCGGAAUUACUGGGCGUAAAGCGCACGCAGGCGGUCUGUUAAGUCAGAUGUGAAAUCCCCGGGCUCAACCUGGGAACUGCAUUUGAAACUGGCAGGCUUGAGUCUUGUAGAGGGGGGGUAGAAUUCCAGGUGUAGCGGUGAAAUGCGUUAGAGAUCUGGAGGAAUACCGGUGGCGAAGGCGGCCCCCUGGACAAAGACUGACGCUCAGGUGCGAAAAGCGUGGGGAGCAAACA
RNAcentral lists this ribosomal RNA (430 nucleotides) under uncultured Enterobacteriaceae bacterium. Its description in RNAcentral is "bacterial SSU rRNA". It matches the Rfam family "Bacterial small subunit ribosomal RNA", at positions 355 to 774 of the family's 1533-position model. Lineage: Bacteria; Pseudomonadati; Pseudomonadota; Gammaproteobacteria; Enterobacterales; Enterobacteriaceae. The record is from RNAcentral.